GAUGAACGCUGGCGGCGUGCCUAAUACAUGCAAGUCGAGCGGACGGACGAGAAUCUUGCUUCUCUGUUGUUAGCGGCGGACGGGUGAGUAACACGUGGAUAACCUACCUAUAAGACUGGGAUAACUUCGGGAAACCGGAGCUAAUACCGGAUGAUAUUUUGAACCGCAUGGUUCAGAAGUGAAAGACGGUCUUGCUGUCACUUAUAGAUGGAUCCGCGCUGCAUUAGCUAGUUGUUAAGGUAACGGUUUACCAAGGCAACGAUGCAUAGCCGACCUGAGAGGGUGAUCGGCCACGCUGGAACUGAGACACGGUCCAGACUCCUACGGGAGGCAGCAGUAGGGAAUGUGCCGAAAUGGGCGAAAGCCGGACGGAGCAACGCCGCGUGAGUGAUGAAGGUCUUCGGAUCGUAAAUCUCUGCUAUUAGGGAAGAACAUAUGUGUAAGUAACUGUGCACAUCGUGACGGUACCUAAACAGAAAGCCACGGCUAACUACGUG
RNAcentral lists this ribosomal RNA (497 nucleotides) under uncultured bacterium. RNAcentral's name for it is "partial 16S ribosomal RNA". It matches the Rfam family "Bacterial small subunit ribosomal RNA", at positions 28 to 507 of the family's 1533-position model. The record is from RNAcentral.